UUUCUCUGGUUUCUCUUCAGAUCAUAUAAACCUUUUGCCCUUUACUAAAGAUUUCUAUGGAGAGGAACACUUCUGAGUCUUAACUCAGUUUGUUUUUAUUAAUUUUUUGGUGG
Molecule: small nuclear RNA, 113 nt
Organism: Perognathus longimembris pacificus (Pacific pocket mouse)
Lineage: Eukaryota; Metazoa; Chordata; Mammalia; Rodentia; Heteromyidae
Product: U5 spliceosomal RNA
Exons: 1
Source: RefSeq, a predicted model, not a curated record